This is a non-coding RNA of Paramuricea clavata, 158 nucleotides long. NCBI's taxonomy places the organism in Eukaryota, Metazoa, Cnidaria, Anthozoa, Malacalcyonacea, Plexauridae. The record is from the annotation of a GenBank genome assembly.
AAAUUUCACAUGUGAAUUUGGGACAUGUGAUUUUUCACAUGUGAAAUUUCACAUGUGAAAUUAUGUUUCACAUGUUCCAAAUUCACAUGUGAAACUUCACAUGUGAAAUUUCACAUGUGAAGUUUCACAUGUGAAACACAUAAUUUCACAUGUGAAAA